RNAcentral lists this ribosomal RNA (92 nucleotides) under Candidatus Cacconaster caballi. Its description in RNAcentral is "partial 16S ribosomal RNA". It matches the Rfam family "Bacterial small subunit ribosomal RNA", at positions 1438 to 1533 of the family's 1533-position model. The record is from RNAcentral. Lineage: Bacteria; Pseudomonadati; Bacteroidota; Bacteroidia; Bacteroidales.
ACCGCAAGGAGCGACCUAGGGCAAAACUGGUAAUUGGGGCUAAGUCGUAACAAGGUAGCCGUACCGGAAGGUGUGGCUGGAACACCUCCUUU